ACCGAGCGGCGGACGGGUGAGUAACGCGUGGGUAACCUGCCUCAUACAGGGGGAUAACAGUUGGAAACGGCUGCUAAUACCGCAUAAGCGCACAGUACCGCAUGGUACGGUGUGAAAAACUCCGGUGGUAUGAGAUGGACCCGCGUCUGAUUAGGUAGUUGGUGGGGUAACGGCCUACCAAGCCGACGAUCAGUAGCCGACCUGAGAGGGUGACCGGCCACAUUGGGACUGAGACACGGCCCAA
Molecule: ribosomal RNA, 244 nt
Filed under: uncultured bacterium
Lineage: Bacteria
Description: partial 16S ribosomal RNA
Rfam family: Bacterial small subunit ribosomal RNA
Source: RNAcentral